This 496-nucleotide ribosomal RNA is filed under the name uncultured bacterium. Its description in RNAcentral is "partial 16S ribosomal RNA". It matches the Rfam family "Bacterial small subunit ribosomal RNA", at positions 28 to 507 of the family's 1533-position model. The record is from RNAcentral.
GAUGAACGCUGGCGGCGUGCCUAAUACAUGCAAGUCGAGCGAACGGGCGAGAAGCUUGCUUCUCUGAUGUUAGCGGCGGACGGGUGAGUAACACGUGGAUAACCUACCUAUAAGACUGGGAUAACUUCGGGAAACCGUAGCUAAUACCGGAUAAUAUCUGAACCGCAUGGUUCAAAAGUGAAAGACGGUCUUGCUGUCACUUAUAGAUGGAUCCGCGCUGCAUUAGCUAGUUGGUAAGGUAACGGCUUACCAAGGCAACGAUGCAUAGCCGACCUGAGAGGGUGAUCGGCCACACUGGAACUGAGACACGGUCCAGACUCCUACGGGAGGCAGCAGUAGGGAAUCUUCCGCAAUGGGCGAAAGCCUGACGGAGCAACGCCGCGUGAGUGAUGAAGGUCUUCGGGUCGUAAAACUCUGUUAUUAGGGAAGAACAUAUGUGUAAGUAACUGUGCACAUCUUGACGGUACCUAAUCAGAAAGCCACGGCUAACUACGUG